This 404-nucleotide small RNA is filed under the name uncultured Glomeromycotina. RNAcentral describes it as "eukaryotic LSU rRNA". Lineage: Eukaryota; Fungi; Glomeromycota. The record is from RNAcentral.
AGAGUUAAACAGUACGUGAAAUUGUUGAAAGGGAAACGAUUAAAGUCAGUCGUACUAACGGGGAAUCAACCUUUUGAGAGUGGAUUUGUGGGAUUCAAAGUGCCUUUAUUUCUACAAUCUGCUUUUUGGGGUGCAUUUUCUCGUAAUGUAGGUCUGUAUCGGUUUUGAUCGUUAUAAAAUGACUGGAGGAAUGUAGCUUCGAUCUCGUAUUGAAGUGUUAUAGCCUUUGGUAAAUGUAACGGAUGGGAUCGAGGAUUGCAAUGAAUACCCUCAUGGGCUAUCCGCCUGGCCUCUGAUUUGUCACUCUGGUGCUGAAAGCUUGCUUAUGGUAUUAUAGUGUACGGUCAAAAGGUUAGAACGGAUUAAAUUCGUUAAGGAUGUUGACGUAAUGGCUUUAAACGACC